GAACGCAAUUAGUCUGGAUCUCCCUCCCACGAUCCCCGGAAACAACGCACCUCUCCUCACGGCCCCGUGGCCUGUAGGUUCUCCGCCGCCGCCCCACGCGACACAGGCCAUCUCUCCCCUGUUUCCCUCUUCUCCAUCCCACACGACAAGCGCGCGGCAGAAGGCGACCACCAUAUCUCUCUUCUCCCUUGCCCCGUUACGCCUCACCCACCGCCGCUUCCUCUCCCCGCCCCCCGGCACGGCCUCACGCUUCCAGUCUCUCGCCUCGAAGGAGGCGGAUGCCUCAAUCGUCUCCGGGGCCGGUGGGGCGCGGGGAGCGAGCUGCUCUCGGUGCUCGACCCGGCGCUCACCGUCGAGGAUCACUACUGCCGCGAGCGCGCCCAGGAGCAGCGGAAGGGCAUGGAGGCGGAGGGGUCCGGCAUAGAGGGGAUCUCGGUGGGCGGGCACGAGGCAUGCGUCACUGCGCCGUCCCCAUACUGCGGCAGUGGUCUAUUCAGCAACGAUCUGUACACUGCCUAACAUUUUUCUUUGAGCAGCUUCAGUAUUAUCUUCAUCUAAUUGCUUGUCAAGUUGCUAAUUGGAGCCUUCAGAUUCUUAGUCACAUUGUAGGUCAGUAAAUCUGAUUGUGUGACACCUUUGAGUGUUCAUCUGAAAGUUAAUUCUAGAUCUCGCUAGAGAAUGAUCCUGAUACAUGGAAACAAUCUGAUAUAUUCAUUGUGCGAUUACUUAGACCGGGCACCGGGCCUGCACCUUGCUUCAGAUCCACAAAUUGUCAAGCGCACAUGGUACAACCAUCAAGUUCUGGGAUAUUAGCUGGCUUAGUGCAGGCAGUCUUUUAACAAAGGAUGGAUGCGAGUAGUGAUAUGCUGAAUACCAUGGAUCUAUGUUCACUGAAGAUAAGUUCUCUUCCUGAAACUUACAAGCACAAACUUCCUUAGUCAACUCAAAGCUAAGCACGGUUAUAAACAAGAUGCUUUAAUAUAAUCAAUACUGCUUGAAUUUAUAUCAGUUUCCAACACUAUCCGAGUCUUUGAGCCAUUCUCUAAAAAUAAAAAUAAACACCUUGAGUGCUUUCUUACCAGUGCCUCCGAUCAAGUUUGGUUUUUUUUAUAACCUUAUUAUAAUCCAGUAUUUAAUAUGCCAUCUAAUGAUCCAAGGUCUUUACAGGGAAAACAAUGGCAGUUUUAAUGCAAGUUCACUGAACAACUACCAUAUCUUUAUGUAGCAUUUGAUUGCUUGGAUGAAGUUGGAUGGCAGAUCCCCAUCCAGCUUUUAAAAGUUGGUGUAGGUGUUGCAGCUUUUUCAGUGCAGUAUACACUGGCAACUGGGAGCACACUUGAAUUACAUGAAUACAUUUCUUCAGAGAACCCGUUGUUGUGUGCAGAAUAUAUUUCUUCAGAGAAUGUGUUAUUGUGCAGAAACUACAAUGAAGUUGUCGGUGGAGAAGAUCCGAUGAACCCAACUACAUCGGGUUGGUUCAAAGGGAGUGGUCCGAUCAGGUCCUUCCAACGGUCUAUUGUCCGUCGAAGGUCACGUUCAUCUCUGGCAAAUUCCACCGCAGCCUCGGUCGUACGUGUGCUUCGAUCUAUUUUCGUAUUGUUUUCUUGGGCGUUUGGCAAAUGCUUCACAUACUAAGCUAAACAUGCACAACUAUCUAGCUGCUGAAAAGGAGAUGACUGUGGUCCUCUUGACAACGAAGAUGAAGACGCGGUAGACCAAGCCUUAUGUGUUCUCCACUUGCAUGCACAACGAGUUCCGCAAGAUGGCCAAUGUUGUCAAGAACCAGGUCACUGGAAGCUACUACAUGCCUGACUUGACCAAACCCGCUCUUGCAAGACUUUCAAUUUACUGCAACCUCCGAGUUUCCAAAUACGGUGUCAAGAAAAAGAAGAAAAAAAGUCCAUUUUACUACCGUGAACAAAGUUGGUGGUUCACAUUACCCCUGAUCUAUUUUUCUGCUCUUUUCACCCCCUAAACAAUCCCAAACCGGACAAAAGACCCCCAUGGGUGGUUUGUCUCAACUUCCAGCUGAUGUGGCGCUGGUCAAUGGUGGUUUGACCUACGGGUGGGGCCAUGAGGAUUAACUUAAUUGAAACAGGAAAUUAGCCCAUGGUUAAUUAGGCAAUGGGACCCGCUUGGCAGUGACUUGGGGGUGGAUUAACUAAGUGCUAAUGGUAGGUUUAGCUGGUGGCUAGCCGGAGCACGACGAAGCUAAGGGCACGAACGGCGGGGAGGUGCUGCAGCAGCUGGCGAUGGAGCAGCACUGGGCGUAAAAUGGGUGGUGGUGGCCCAGUUCUUGGGCAUCAUCGUCCCUCUCCUUGUGCAGGAGGUAGCGAGACAGCGAGGCAGGCGGUGCGGGGAGGCAUGGGGCGGCCAGAUCCAGGGAUGGCAGCCCCAUUAGGUCUGGUUCUGGUCUGUCUGGAGCCUAGCAUUGGUGUGAAGACGACACGACGGUGAGCUUGUGGCGGCGGCGGCUCAACCCCCAGGCAUGGUCGUCCCUGUCUUCGCGCGGGAGGUAGCAGGGCAGCGGCGCUGCAGCGAUGCAGGUGCAGGGGGAGCCCGAGGGGGCGACCAGAUCCGGGGGUAGCGGCCCCAUAUGGUCUGGUUCCGGUCGGAUGCGGAGUUCGGCGACGGUGUGAAGACGGCCCGCCGGCGAGCUUGUGGCGACGGUUGACCUAUACGUGAGCCGGGAGAAGAGAGAAGGGAGAGGAAAGAGAUGGGAGAAAGGAGAAGCAGGGCGGCAGCUUGGAACUCUGGCGGUCGCCGGCAUCAUCUAGAGGCGGCAGGGUCGGGCGUGGUGCUCGGGAUGGAGGCAGCUAUGAGGGGAGGCUCGGGAGGAGCUCCUCUGUCUCAACCCAGCCUGAUGAGGGAGACUCACCCGCAGGUCAAAACCGGCCAUUGACCAUUGCCACGUCAGCAACCAGUGAAGUAAAACCACCCAGGGACUGAUUUUUUUCCGGUAUGAGAUUGUUCAGGGGGUAAAGGGAACAGAAAUAAAGAUCAGGGGGUUAUGUGAACCACCAAUUUUCUUCAGUGUAGUAAAAUGGACUUUUUUGAAAAAGAACAUCCAUACGAAUAGCGUUGAGAGGCAAUGAGCUUUUUUUUGUGCAUGAGUUGGUUUGUGUUUCCAUUCUUCUAGAUUUGUUCUAAGAGAAUGGAGUCGAAUAUAAUGAAUGAUGUGCUCAGCAGACAGGCACAAGUUUUGCCAGUAGGUUCAACAUUUGUACCCCAUGACUAUGUGUUCCAGAACUGAUUUGGACAUUCCCCCUUUUCUUUGGAGAUGAAGGGAUCAUUUGUA
Triticum aestivum (bread wheat) is the source of this 3298-nucleotide long non-coding RNA. RefSeq lists it as uncharacterized. The record is from RefSeq and is a predicted model, not a curated record. Lineage: Eukaryota; Viridiplantae; Streptophyta; Magnoliopsida; Poales; Poaceae. The transcript is spliced from 6 exons.